Molecule: long non-coding RNA, 1072 nt
Organism: Chenopodium quinoa (quinoa)
Lineage: Eukaryota; Viridiplantae; Streptophyta; Magnoliopsida; Caryophyllales; Amaranthaceae
Exons: 3
Source: RefSeq, a predicted model, not a curated record
UGGGAGGGGAAUGAUUUGGGUGGAAAUGAUUAAAUGUAGAGUUUAAGUUAAUGAGAUAAAAACAAUAGUUUAAUUAAGGUGUUUAAAAACAAAAGUAAGGGUAAUUUAGUAAAAUCACCCUUAAAAACUUACUAAAAAAGGAAAAAAAAAUUGUUGCGAGUAAUGUGAAACAUCCAUAUUUAGUAAUUGUUGCGAGUAAUAUGAAACGGAGGGAGUAUAUAGAAUCAGGAUCAUGUGAGAACCUAGGUGUAUAAUAAGAACUAAUAACUAAUUUACACCGUCGAUCGCGAUUCAUCUAACGGCCGAAAUUCUACCCGCCUCAUUAAGGGCAAAAUAGAACAAUCGGCGCUUUGAAUGACCACCCAUACAUUUCCGGCGUUUCCUUUUCACUUUCUCUCUCAUCUUCAUGCUUUCUCUCUCUUCUCUUGAAUUCUCUUUGCUGCGAUUUUACUUCUUCGAUUUCGCAUAUGAAAAUCUUUGAUUCGGUCUGUGAAUUCUUCGAUUAGCUAUAAUCUAGUUAUUUUGGAGAGGUGAAUAUUUUGAUUUUUUCUUUGUUCAUGGCUUGCUAUUUUUAAACAGGUGUAAUAAAUUGAUUUAUUUGCUUCAAUCUACUAACUUCAAUUGCUUUUUGUAGGCUGCAAACAGGCUAGACAAAAAAGAACUGAGUCUAAUCUGUACUCUGAGUUAGGCAUCUUGGUUUUGCAAGAAUAUGAGAGUCCAUCAAGAACCAAUGUCUGACCCCUGCAUUGUGGUUGAGUGCUUCUGUCUUGCCAAGGUUGCUGCAGCUAUUGCCCUGCCAUGGCUUGCUGCUUCUGCCACCUACUGUUGCUAUGCUACUUUUUCUCUACCGCCUACUGCUGCUAUGCUACUUCUUCUCUACCGCCUGCUAAUGCGAAUAUGUGAAAGCCUUGUAUAGUCGUAUUAUAUUUUUGGAUGAAUUUUGUAAUAUUACAGAAGUUGAGUGUUAAUAUAAAUAUCCAAGUUUAUAUAUAUCUUGCAUCAAUGCAUUAACUCACCUUGAUAAAAACCUUUAUAAUUCACAGUUAUAAAUCAGGUUAUAUAUUUUUUUAUU